GCAAUUCAUGGUUUAGUUGCUUUGGUCUGGUGUAGCUGCAAGAUUGUUAAGCUCUGCAAAUCUUAAACCAACCCGCAUCGAGUGCUUCAAGAAUUUCUCAGCACAUCUCAUGACACAGGUUUCCUCCUGCUUCUGCAGUGAUUUGCGUGUAAAGCUGUCCACACAGUCAUUGAAGCAUCUCUCCACAACUGAAUUGUACAUCCUCAUACUGUCUCGCACUUGGAGCUGCUCGAUUACGGCUGGCGCACCUCUGGUCUUCUUCAGGUAGACCGUCAAGACCUUGUAGCAUGUUCUUGUCCAUGCCUCCUCCAAUAAAUUAAAUUAUAGGGUUUGUUCUCUAUCCUCACCUUCUAUUAGCAGG
RNAcentral lists this unclassified non-coding RNA (361 nucleotides) under Hevea brasiliensis (rubber tree). The record is from RNAcentral. Lineage: Eukaryota; Viridiplantae; Streptophyta; Magnoliopsida; Malpighiales; Euphorbiaceae.